This 68-nucleotide transfer RNA is filed under the name Echinostoma caproni. It matches the Rfam family "tRNA". From Rfam's summary of the family: Transfer RNA (tRNA) molecules are approximately 80 nucleotides in length. Their secondary structure includes four short double-helical elements and three loops (D, anti-codon, and T loops). The record is from Rfam by way of RNAcentral. Lineage: Eukaryota; Metazoa; Platyhelminthes; Trematoda; Plagiorchiida; Echinostomatidae.
GGCCUCGUAGCUCAGCUCGAAAGAGCGUAGGCGGAGUUCAUGUGUGGGUUCGAAUCCCACUGAGGCUA